UACGGAGGGAGCUAGCGUUGUUCGGAAUUACUGGGCGUAAAGCGCGCGUAGGCGGCUUUGUAAGUUAGAGGUGAAAGCCUGGAGCUCAACUCCAGAAUUGCCUUUAAGACUGCAUCGCUUGAAUCCAGGAGAGGUGAGUGGAAUUCCGAGUGUAGAGGUGAAAUUCGUAGAUAUUCGGAAGAACACCAGUGGCGAAGGCGGCUCACUGGACUGGUAUUGACGCUGAGGUGCGAAAGCGUGGGGAGCAAACAGGAUUAGAUACCCGCGUAGUCC
This 273-nucleotide ribosomal RNA is filed under the name uncultured bacterium. Its description in RNAcentral is "partial 16S ribosomal RNA". It matches the Rfam family "Bacterial small subunit ribosomal RNA", at positions 524 to 796 of the family's 1533-position model. The record is from RNAcentral.